This 137-nucleotide small nuclear RNA is filed under the name Haemaphysalis longicornis (longhorned tick). Its description in RNAcentral is "U1 spliceosomal RNA". It matches the Rfam family "U1 spliceosomal RNA", at positions 23 to 166 of the family's 166-position model. Rfam says of the family: U1 is a small nuclear RNA (snRNA) component of the spliceosome (involved in pre-mRNA splicing). Its 5' end forms complementary base pairs with the 5' splice junction, thus defining the 5' donor site of an intron. There are significant differences in sequence and secondary structure between metazoan and yeast U1 snRNAs, the latter being much longer (568 nucleotides as compared to 164 nucleotides in human). The record is from Rfam by way of RNAcentral. Lineage: Eukaryota; Metazoa; Arthropoda; Arachnida; Ixodida; Ixodidae.
AUAUUUCUGAAAGGUGACCCCAGGGAGAGACGCUGCCAUUGCACUGCGGUAGUGUUGACCCCUGCCACUACCCCAAACUGGGGCAGAUGGGGCAUGCAAUUUUUGGUAGUGGGGGACUGCGUUCGCGCUAUCCCCUU